RNAcentral lists this long non-coding RNA (1879 nucleotides) under Junco hyemalis (dark-eyed junco). Its description in RNAcentral is "lncRNA (ENSJHYG00000011325.1)". The record is from RNAcentral. Lineage: Eukaryota; Metazoa; Chordata; Aves; Passeriformes; Passerellidae.
CUGUCUGACGUGCCCGGCACCACUGCGGCAGGCGGCCGGCAACGCCUGCACGGCCAGGGGCUGGUGGGGCCCUGCUGCAGGCGGCCCCGGGGGGUUUUGGGCCCCUCAGGAGGGUGAGUGGGGGGCUGCACUCGUGGGAUGGGGGACUGAGAGCAUCAGGGAAGUCGCCUGCCAAUUGGCAAGGCUGGGGCAUGUGGCAGAGCCAUGGUUCUGACAGGGACCCGGUUGUGCCAUGGGAUGAGCCCCCACUGAUCCCCCUUCCACUCGGGAAAGGGGAAACCCUGCAGCUCUCCUCACACCCCCUAUUUUGGGCAUCUUAUGGGGUGCACAGCAGAUGGAGAGAUGGACAGAGAGCUGGGGGCACCCCAACCACACCCAAAGGUGGCCAAAGGAACCAGGGUGCUGGCUGGGGGCUUUGGGUGAGUGACUCCCAAGCCCACUGCGCCCGCACCCCCUGUCCCCGCGCUCAUCCCACCACCAGGGGUUAAUUGCCAGCAGCUCGUCUGUAAUUAAAGCUCUCCGGUGACAGGAGCUGACGACUCAAUAUCAAACUGCUGCAAUUAAGGCCAUGAGGGCUGUGCAGGGAGCGAGGGGCAGGGACACCCUGGAGGGGACACCCUGGAGGGAACACCCUGGAGGAGCCACCCUGGCACUCCUGCAGGGUCGGGGGGCACGGGCAGGGGCACGGCGGGGGCUGCACAGCCGGGGCGCAGCGAUCUUGCAAAUAUUGUAUUGCUCAGUCACUACCAAGGGUUAAAACCAAACCGAGGGCACGGAGGAAGGCGUCUUCCCAGAAGACAGAUCAGCGUGUCCUCGCCGCAGGAGGACACGGCAGAGCGGCCGAUGCCGCCAUCGGAGCUGCUGCCCCGCUCCGGGCUCGGGGGUCCCUGGGCCCCAGGGGAGGGGGUCCGUGGGGAAAGGCACGACAUGAGGUGGUGGCCGUGGGGCAGAGCAGGCGUUCGCUGAGGGGACCCCAGCGCCGAGGUCCAGCAGGCGGGUCAUGGCCUGGGGCUGCCCCACGGGCUCGGGGGUUUGGCUGGGAGGAAGAGUCUGGAAGCGGCCUUGGGGCAGAGGAGCCCAUCCCCCCGGCAGGGGCAGCGCCGGGGUCAGAUCCAGAGCAGGGCCAGGAGCACGAGAGUCAGGCAAGGGCUGCAGGGCUGCCAUGGGACCGCGGUGCCCCGGGCAGGAGCCACAUCUGCCGGGGCACAAGUAGGGGUCAGGACGAGCCGGUUCCUGACCUCCCAACCCCGCCCCCGUACUCACCUUCGGGGCCCCCGCGCCCUCGGGGCUGCGAAUUCGGCACCUCUGUCACCGGCUCUGGCGCUGAAAAAAACCCCGCGGUGGUCAGGGAGGGGCUCCCCUGGGUUACGUGGAGGCUCCGGUGUCCCCCAGUGGGGGCCGGUGGAGCCCUCGAGUUUUGGGGCGCAGCCCCCCCGGCCGGACUCACUGGUGCCUCGGCAGCAGACGGUGACGCGCAGCUUCAGGCAUCGCCCGGCGCUCUCGGGGCUGGGCACGGCUGGGCAGGGGGGGUCAGCGGGCACCGGCUCCGGUGCGGCCCCCCCGGGACCCCCCGACGGCGGCUCCGCGCGGGCCGGGGGCGCCCCCUCCCGGCGGAACGAGGGGAGCGCGCCCCCACCCCGGAGCGCGCAGAGUCCCCCCCGGACCCCGAACCGGAGAUACCCGGACCCCUCGUGCCCCCACCCCGCAGCGCGCAGAGCCCCCCCACCCUGCACCCCGGAACGGUGACACCCCGAACCGGGAACACCCCGAUGCGGGGCCAUCCCGAACCAGGGACACCCAGAGCCCACCCUGCACCCCGAACAGGGGACACCCCAAACCAGGGACACCUUGAAACAGGGACACCCCGAACCAGGCACAA